This 680-nucleotide ribosomal RNA is filed under the name uncultured ciliate. RNAcentral describes it as "SSU rRNA". It matches the Rfam family "Eukaryotic small subunit ribosomal RNA", at positions 320 to 1019 of the family's 1831-position model. Lineage: Eukaryota; Ciliophora. The record is from RNAcentral.
CUCGAUGGUAGUGUAUUGGACUACCAUGGCUAUCACGGGUAACGGGGAAUUAGGGUUCGAUUCCGGAGAGGGAGCGUGAGAAACGGCUACCACAUCUAAGGAAGGCAGCAGGCGCGCAAAUUACCCAAUCCUGAUUCAGGGAGGUAGUGACAAGAAAUAACAACUCGGGGGCUCUAAGCCUUACGAGAUUGCAAUGAGAACAAUUUAAACAACUUAUCGAGGAACAAUUGGAGGGCAAGUCUGGUGCCAGCAGCCGCGGUAAUUCCAGCUCCAAUAGCGUAUAUUAAAGUUGUUGCAGUUAAAAAGCUCGUAGUUGAACUUCUGCCCGGUCCUCUGCGUGCUCCGGUACGCCUAGGGUCGGUCAUCAGUCAGAGAGCUUUGGUGGGCCUUCACUGGCCGCCGGGUAAUCUGACGCUUUACUUUGAAAAAAUCAGAGUGUUCAAGGCAGGCAAUCGCCCUGAAUACACAAGCAUGGAAUAAUGGAAGAGGACUUUGGUCCAUUUUGUUGGUUAUUGGACCUAAGUAAUGAUUAAUAGGGACAGUUGGGGGCAUUAGUAUUUAAUUGUCAGAGGUGAAAUUCUUGGAUUUAUUAAAGACUAACUUAUGCGAAAGCAUUUGCCAAGGAUGUUUUCAUUAAUCAAGAACGAAAGUUAGGGGAUCAAAGACGAUCAGAUACCGUC